Molecule: long non-coding RNA, 312 nt
Organism: Rhagoletis pomonella (apple maggot)
Lineage: Eukaryota; Metazoa; Arthropoda; Insecta; Diptera; Tephritidae
Exons: 2
Source: RefSeq, a predicted model, not a curated record
CGCCAAGCGACCCACAAAAUAAUGAAAAGUGGAUCGCACAAAUGCCAUGCAUUCCAUUGAGAAGGAAUGCAUGGACAUAGAUUAUUAAUCGACGAUUGUUGAAGAUUUGUUCUUCUCGACACCCUACAACUUCCCUGCCAGCAAGAAGAGAGACAGUUGUAGCGUCACUGGAUGUGAUUUCCGGCCACACAUGCAGGGUAGCACGGAUGCAGCAGAAUUGAUUAAUUUAAGCUGGCAUGUGACAAUAAACUAUCACAUUUUCCUUUGACUUUUUCCUUAAAAUAUGUGAAAUAUAUAAUGCACUAAUGUCUC